CCGACGCAAGGGACGGUGCCUUCUGGGUAAUGCAGUUUUUCCCUUACAUCUACCGGGUGUGGGAACUCACCCAGCGCAUCCGACUCCACAGUCAAGGAAACUUUUCAUUUGAGCUAUUUGCAGCAUUUACUAGUUGAAUAUACUUCUGUGAACAAAAUUUGGAAAGUAUUUGUUUCUCUCUACCUGAUUUCUCCAGAAUUUGGAAACUAGUUGUGAGUAUUCUUAACUUAAGGCAAUAUAGUUAUUUGCAUAAAUGCAAUAAGAAUCUGUUUUCCUUUAUAACAGGACAUAAUUGGAGAAAUUGCUUAUUUUAGCAAGGCUUUGACUAGAAUGAUGUGCUUUCCUUUAAGGAAUCAAAGUUGACUUGUAGAGCCAAUAAAAGCCCUUUGGGGAACUGGCCUCACACCUUGCCUACACAGUCCCCGUACAGAGUUUCUGACCUGUGG
This is a long non-coding RNA of Cercocebus atys (sooty mangabey), 446 nucleotides long. RefSeq lists it as uncharacterized. The transcript has 2 exons. The record is from RefSeq and is a predicted model, not a curated record. NCBI's taxonomy places the organism in Eukaryota, Metazoa, Chordata, Mammalia, Primates, Cercopithecidae.